This 446-nucleotide ribosomal RNA is filed under the name uncultured bacterium. RNAcentral describes it as "partial 16S ribosomal RNA". It matches the Rfam family "Bacterial small subunit ribosomal RNA", at positions 330 to 792 of the family's 1533-position model. The record is from RNAcentral.
UCCAGACUCCUACGGGAGGCAGCAGUGGGGAAUAUUGCACAAUGGGGGGAACCCUGAUGCAGCGACGCCGCGUGGGUGAAGGAGCGUUUCGGCGCGUAAAGCCCUAUCGGCAGGGAAGAAGGAGGACGGUACCUGACUAAGAAGCCCCGGCUAACUACGUGCCAGCAGCCGCGGUAAUACGUAGGGGGCAAGCGUUAUCCGGAUUUACUGGGUGUAAAGGGGGCGCAGACGGCAGCGCAAGCCAGGAGUGAAAGCCCGGGGCCCAACCCCGGGACUGCUCUUGGAACUGCGCGGCUGGAGUGCAGGAGGGGCAGGCGGAAUUCCUGGUGUAGCGGUGAAAUGCGUAGAUAUCAGGAGGAACACCGGUGGCGAAGGCGGCCUGCUGGACUGCGACUGACGUUGAGGCCCGAAAGCGUGGGGAGCAAACAGGAUUAGAUACCCGAGUA